UACGUAGGGUGCAAGCGUUGUCCGGAAUUAUUGGGCGUAAAGAGCUCGUAGGCGGUUUGUCGCGUCUGCUGUGAAAACCCGAGGCUCAGCCUCGGAAGUGCGUCGGAAACUAGUCGGCUGGAGCGCGAUAGAGGAGGGUGGAAUUCCUGGUGUAGCGGUGAAAUGCGUAGAUAUCAGGAGGAACACCGGCGGCGAAGGCGGCCCUCUGGAUCGUUGCUGACGCUGAUACGCGAAAGCGUGGGGAGCAAACAGG
RNAcentral lists this ribosomal RNA (253 nucleotides) under uncultured bacterium. RNAcentral describes it as "partial 16S ribosomal RNA". It matches the Rfam family "Bacterial small subunit ribosomal RNA", at positions 524 to 776 of the family's 1533-position model. The record is from RNAcentral.